Long non-coding RNA from Pogoniulus pusillus (Red-fronted tinkerbird), 2806 nucleotides. RefSeq lists it as uncharacterized. NCBI's taxonomy places the organism in Eukaryota, Metazoa, Chordata, Aves, Piciformes, Lybiidae. The transcript is spliced from 3 exons. The record is from RefSeq and is a predicted model, not a curated record.
UUUGCAGCCUUGAGCUACACAGCCUUAACUCCUCACAGCUGUCUCCAUGGUAUCACAGACCUCCCUAUCACCUUCCAACUGCUUCUGUGACACCACCCUCACUGCUAUUUCCUGGCUGCAGGGCAUUUCAGCUCCUUAAAAGGACCAAGGCAGACAGACAUUUAUCAACACCUCCCAGCGUUUUCCCCUGUAGAUAGAGAAGAAUUGCAACAAACUGAAAGAGGAGAACAAGGAAGAGAACGAAAUAAACAACAGGAAUUGAAAUGAAAGCUAGAAAAGAAAGCAAAAGUAACAGCACCAAGUUAACAGAAAAUGCCUGAUGAAAAGGCAGGACCAAGAAUCCACAAAGCAAGGCAGAAAUGAAGAUAUUUAAAGGAAUUCAUUGAUGGGCAAAGAAAAGUAAGAGAACAAGAGGACCACCAGUGAUACUCCUAGUGCAGCAAUAAAGCAGCACAGUGCAGCUCCCUGAACACAAGCAGUUGCCUCCCUUUACCCACAGCUGCCUCUCCUGGUUUUGAACAGCCUCACGCUUCCCUUCGUCUGCCAAGCCAGCAGAAAGAGAAGAAUAAAACUCAAGACUGCCACAAGAAAGGUCACAAUAGCACAUCACCUAAAGAGCUACAGCACCUAUCAGAGUUACUGGUGUGAUCAGAUGAAACCAAGCUGCUGUCGUAGGUUAAGUGAGAACGAACACGCAGCAUAGUCAGCUGCGGCCAAUUAAGCUGGUGCGCAGCAUUCCACCACCAGCGACCAUCCCCCCACAGGUGCGUGGUUGAGCAGCAGCAGCUCCAGGCUCUGAGUGGGGAAGUUUCACCCACAUCCUCCAUACUUAUCCCCGAUUUGUAAGGCUUGACAGUAAUUAUAAAACUUGACACAACUCUGUGAGAGUUCUGGGAAGGUCUUGGCAGUGCUGCAAGGCAGACACCAGCCCUGGCUAGGCAGGCAUUGAUUCUGGAGAAAGAGCAUGUGUGCCACUACUAAAGCCUGCGUCUUUCUUAAUGUGUGAGUUGGUGUCUCAGUAGCAAGAAGAAAAGGUAAAUGUACAAGAAAGGUAAGCACAAGAGAGAGAAAUCUUGCCCGAGUAACAGAGCCUGGUUCGUUUAGCAGCUGAAAGAAACUCCACUGCGAGCCUGCCUAAGAGACAACUCGCCUUCUUAAGGAGCACCCUUACCUAAAUCCUCCCGAAUUUGUUACUAAACACUUGCUACUACUCCCCACAAGUCAUAGUAAAAAUCAGGGCUGAGAGCAACUUUAACAGUUCAGCUAGGUACAAAAACGCAGGCAGCUCACUAGCCUUCCACAGAGAUUCAGAUUAUUCUGCUGUCUAAAUGAGCACAUUCUGGCAACUCUGCCUCAGCCCUCUUCACGUAAAGGUCAGCAUUUAGUGUCAGUAACCCACCCUGAAAAGCAACAGACAAACCUGAGAUGAUCUCCGAUGAAACGCAGGCCAAAUUUCCAGGCAGAAGGGUCACUGCAGCCGCUCUGGAAACCAUCUUACUGCCGGGGCAGAGGGAGACGAUGUGGAGAAAAAGCCCUCCUCGUGCCUCAGCCGCUCCCUUUUGUAAUCUCCAUUAUGGCUUUCAGGUGUGCGGGUCCCGUGCUGAAGGAACAGCUUUGAGCCCUCCAUUAGCUAGGACACACCUGUUAACAAUCCUGACCCCUUGUCUCCAAACAAACAUGUUUGAACUCCUUCUGAACUCUUCUAUUUUGCAAAACUAAAGAACUGACACUUAGUAGCUCUGCUUCUGCUCUGCAUGUACACUCUGCUACCUGGCUGCUAACCCUCUCCCUGUCUUGAGCUCAUACUUGUUUAAAUAAAGCAAUUUAAAUAGAAAUGAGUUUUCAACAGAUGUAAGCAUUUCAUUAGAAUUAUCUGUUGCCAUUUUCAAAGCACAUAAAAAGUAACUGACAACAGAAAAGUCUCUAAAGCCUAUUUUAUAGAGGGAAAAAGAAAUAAAACACGGUCUGGUGGGAGAUAACUUAAAACUUUUCCUUCUUUCCACCCUGUCCUUUUUAUUCUCAGCUUUAGCUUUGAUAUGUCAGUGUAAUAAUAUUUUUGUGUAAUGCUACUCUGAGAGGGGAGUGCCUUAAGAACCAAAAUUUUAAAGAGAUGGAUGUGGUGUCCUACAGGAGCAUCAACAACUGCAACCGAGCUGAAAGCUUUGUGUUCUUGCCAUGGAGGAAAUCAUGGUGGAAACCAUCCUGGCCCCUUGGGAAAUACUCCUGGUCAUUUUUGCUACAGUGCUAGUAAUGAGUUUUCUCAUGUUUCUGCCCCCUGCUGCCUUGGUGAGCUGGAGGAUGAAGCGUGAACCACAAAUCUCACUGCAUGGCUCAGUGUGAAGCAGCCCUGGCACAGCUGUAGCACCACUUAUCUUUUCAAAGGGUGAUUCAGAAUGACAGUGUGGCUAAGGAGCACUCUUACUGCCUAGGAUCUGUGCAAAAGCAAUGGGUUUCCCAGCCUAUUGCUGCAAAGUUCCUGUGGAAAGAGCAUGUGUAUAAUUUUGUCUUCAUGUACUACAGUUCUCAGGACGUUGCCCUCCAUAUUUUUGUCUAUGCUGUAAUUACUAUUGUUGGCUUAGUUGGUAGGCAGACUUCUUCUCCUGCAUUAAAAUGGCCUGAAAGCAAGACUGAAAGAGAAGCAAUCAUAACACAGCAUUGUAUUCCCUUAGCUAAAGUCAGAAAGUCUCCAUUUAGAGACUGUAAAAAUCAGCAAAGCCCUUAGAUGAGAUGAGUGACAGUUAUGCAGGUUGACAUAGGUGGCAUUAGUGGUUUAGUCUGGUUGUAAAGUGAAAAGCCAACAACAAAA